Molecule: long non-coding RNA, 1137 nt
Filed under: Brassica napus (rape)
Lineage: Eukaryota; Viridiplantae; Streptophyta; Magnoliopsida; Brassicales; Brassicaceae
Description: long non-coding RNA (BNAP_LNC004701)
Source: RNAcentral
AGAAACGGAGACAACAAAGGUUCCAAACCUCUUUGAACUUCAUCAUAUGUUAUUACAUGAUUCAACUAUGCAUUAAAACAGUAUUGUCAAAUUUUUUGAAUUUUUCUCAAAAUCUAUGUGUACCCACCUACGAAAAUAGUGAGUUUUCGGUAAAUGCUUUAUAUAUGAAGCCUAUAAUCUUUUAAUUCGUUUUAAAAUUUAUAACCACAUUAUAAAUUUGUAUUAAUUUAUGAUAAACUUCUUUUCAUGGUACAUAGACAUCGUUCUAAUUUUUUAUCAAUUAAUUUAGCAAAACUGUAAAUACUCCCUAAAUCAUUGGACUAACCACUAUAAAAUUGCUAUUCCUUAGAGAAACGGAGACAACAAAGGUUCCAAACCUCUUUGAACUUCAUCAUAUUUUAUUACAUGAUUCAAAUAUGUAUUAAAACAGUAUUUUCAAUUUUUUUGAAUUUUUCUCAAAAUCUAUGUAUACCCCCCUACGAAAAUAGUGAGUUUUCGGUAAAUGCUCUAUAUAUGAAGCCUAUAAUCUUUUAAUUCGUUUUAAAAUUAAUAACCACAUUAUACAUUUGUAUUAAUUUAUAAUAAACUUCUUUUCAUGGUACAUGGACAUCGUUCUAAUUUUUUAUCUAUUAUUUUAGCAAAACUGCAAAUACUCCCUAAAUCAUUGGACUAACCACUAUAAAAUUGCUAUUCCCUAGAAAAACGAAGACAACAAAGGUUCCAAACCUCUUUGAACUUCAUCAUAUAUUAUUACAUGAUUCAAAUAUGUAUUAAAACAGUGUUGUCAAAUUUUUUGAUUUUUUCUCAAAAUCUAUGUGUACCCCCCAACGAAAAUAGUGAGUUUUCAGUAAAUGCUCUAUAUAUGAAGCCUAUAAUAUUUUAAUUUGUUUUAAAAUUUAUAACCACAUUACACAUUUAUAUUAAUUUAUGAUAAAUUCAUUUUCAUGGUACAUGGACAUCGUUCUAAUUUUUUAUAAAGUAAUUUAGCAAAACUGCAAACACUCCCUAAAUCAUUAGACUAACCACUAUAAAAUUGUUAUUCUUUAGAGAAACGGAGACAACAAAGGUUCCAAACCUCUUUGAACUUCAUCAUAUAUUAUUACAUGAUUCAACUAUGCAUUAAAACAGUAUUCUCAA